Non-coding RNA from Acanthosepion pharaonis, 99 nucleotides. Lineage: Eukaryota; Metazoa; Mollusca; Cephalopoda; Sepiida; Sepiidae. The record is from the annotation of a GenBank genome assembly.
UUGCAGGCUCCUGUUCCCGUACGAUCACAUAAGUUAAGCAACGUCGAGUCUGGUCGGUAUCUUGAUGGGUAGCCGCUUGCGAAUACCAUGUGCUGUAAG